This 395-nucleotide unclassified non-coding RNA is filed under the name soil metagenome. Its description in RNAcentral is "partial contains 5.8S ribosomal RNA, internal transcribed spacer 2, and large subunit ribosomal RNA". The stretch from base 1 to 122 matches the Rfam family "5.8S ribosomal RNA", at positions 35 to 154 of the family's 154-position model. The record is from RNAcentral.
GAUGAAGAACGUAGCGAAAUGCGAUACUUGGUGUGAAUUGCAGAAUCCCGUGAACCAUCGAGUCUUUGAACGCAAGUUGCGCCCGAAGCCAUCAGGUUGAGGGCACGUCUGCCUGGGCGUCACAUAUCGUUGCCCAAUGCCUAUUGCAGUGCAAUAGGAAUUUCUAGGGCGAAUGAUGGCUUCCCGUGAGCGUUGUUGCCUCGCGGUUGGUUGAGAAUCGAGUCCUUGGUAGGGUGUGCCAUGGUAGAUGGUGGUCGAGUUAGAACGAUACCGAUCAUGUGCAUGCUCCCCAAAAUAUGGCCUCUAUGACCCACACGCGUCUUUUGACGCUCAUGACGAGCCCUCAGGUCAGGCGGGGCUACCCGCUGAAUUUAAGCAUAUCAAUAAGCGGAGGA